UCAAACUUGGUCAUUUAGAGGAAGUAAAAGUCGUAACAAGGUUUCCGUAGGUGAACCUGCGGAAGGAUCAUUAUUGAACUAUCCAAUACCAACCCUUUCCAUUGCCUAAUGAUUAUGAACCUUUUGGCGAGGCCCCAAGCUUUCCUCCUGAAGUUAUCUUGUCAUAGCACAGAGAGAAGAGAUUGUGUGCCUCGCCAGAGACCAGCUUUCGAUUGUUUGGAUAGUUAGCCCACCUGUUGGUCUUCGGAUCCUUCGUUACCCCUUUGGGUUUAAGCGACAGGAAGGGCUGGCUUUUUCAGGCAUUAGAAUUCGCGGUCGGCUUGUUCCGGGGGCUUAUGCUGUACUAUGUCAGCAAAACAAAUUUAAUAAAAAAAAACUUUUAACAACGGAUCUCUUGGCUCUCCCAUCGAUGAAGAACGCAGC
This 423-nucleotide unclassified non-coding RNA is filed under the name uncultured fungus. RNAcentral describes it as "partial contains small subunit ribosomal RNA, internal transcribed spacer 1, and 5.8S ribosomal RNA". The stretch from base 1 to 73 matches the Rfam family "Eukaryotic small subunit ribosomal RNA", at positions 1759 to 1831 of the family's 1831-position model. Lineage: Eukaryota; Fungi. The record is from RNAcentral.